This 213-nucleotide long non-coding RNA is filed under the name Mytilus galloprovincialis (Mediterranean mussel). Lineage: Eukaryota; Metazoa; Mollusca; Bivalvia; Mytilida; Mytilidae. The record is from RNAcentral.
CAGAAGUCGUUGUUGUAAUUUUUUAAAUAAUCAGAUCAAAUGGCAAUGGCAUCGAACCAUUACAGCCCAGUUUUCACAAACAAAAGUGAAGCAAACCAUACAAAUCCGAUCUUUUGCUAUGCCAUUUUACAUUAUGCAGCAAAAAUACUGCAAUCUGAUUGGUUAAUUACCCCGAAGUAAAUAACACCCCACCCUUGUUCACCCCGGGGAAAA